This 510-nucleotide unclassified non-coding RNA is filed under the name uncultured Glomus. RNAcentral's name for it is "SSU rRNA". It matches the Rfam family "Eukaryotic small subunit ribosomal RNA", at positions 569 to 1082 of the family's 1831-position model. Lineage: Eukaryota; Fungi; Glomeromycota; Glomeromycetes; Glomerales; Glomeraceae. The record is from RNAcentral.
AGCAGCCGCGGUAAUUCCAGCUCCAAUAGCGUAUAUUAAAGUUGUUGCAGUUAAAAAGCUCGUAGUUGAAUUUCGGGGUUAGCAGGUCGGUCGUGCCAUUGGUAUGAACUGGUCUCGCUGAUCCCUCCCUCUUGACGAACUGUGAUGCCAUUAAUUUGGUGUCGCGGGGAAUCAGGACUGUUACUUUGAAAAAUUAGAGUGUUUAAAGCAGGCUCACGCUUGAAUACAUUAGCAUGGAAUAAUGAAAUAGGACGUUUGAUCCUAUUUUGUUGGCUUCUAGGAUUGACGUAAUGAUUAAUAGGGAUAGUUGGGGGCAUUAGUAUUCAAUUGUCAGAGGUGAAAUUCUUGGAUUUAUUGAAGACUAACUACUGCGAAAGCAUUUGCCAAGGAUGUUUUCAUUAAUCAAGAACGAAAGUUAGGGGAUCGAAGACGAUCAGAUACCGUCGUAGUCUUAACCAUAAACUAUGCCGACUAGGGAUCGGAUGAUGUUAAUUUUUAAUGACUCAUUCC